GACGAACGCUGGCGGCGUGCUUAACACAUGCAAGUCGAACGGAAAGGCCCUGCUUGCCGGGUACUCGAGUGGCGAACGGGUGAGUAACACGUGGGUGAUCUGCCCUGCACUUCGGGAUAAGCCUGGGAAACUGGGUCUAAUACCGGAUAGGAGCCAUUUUUAGUGUGAUGGUUGGAAAGUUUUUUCGGUGUAGGAUGAGCUCGCGGCCUAUCAGCUUGUUGGUGGGGUAAUGGCCUACCAAGGCGGCGACGGGUAGCCGGCCUGAGAGGGUGGACGGCCACAUUGGGACUGAGAUACGGCCCAGACUCCGACGGGAGGCAGCAGUGGGGAAGAUUGCACGAGGGGCGCAAGCCUGAUGCAGAGACGCCGCGGGGGGGAUGACGGCCUUCGGGUUGUAAACUCCUUUCGCUAGGGACGAAGCUUUUUGUGACGGUACCUAGAUAAGAAGCACCGGCUAACUACGUG
This 465-nucleotide ribosomal RNA is filed under the name uncultured bacterium. Its description in RNAcentral is "partial 16S ribosomal RNA". It matches the Rfam family "Bacterial small subunit ribosomal RNA", at positions 28 to 507 of the family's 1533-position model. The record is from RNAcentral.